AACGAACGCUGGCGGCAGGCCUAAAACAUGCAAGUCGAACGAACCUUCGGGUUAGUGGCGCACGGGUGAGUAACGCGUGGGAAUGUGCCUCUGGGUGCGGAACAACGUCGGGAAACUGACGCUAAUACCGCAUAAUAUCUACGGAUCAAAGAUUUAUCGCCCAGAGAUCAGCCCGCGUUAGAUUAGGUAGUUGGUGGGGUAAUGGCCUACCAAGCCUACGAUCUAUAGCUGGUCUGAGAGGAUGAUCAGCCACACUGGAACUGAGACACGGUCCAGACUUCUACGGGAGGCAGCAGUUAGGAAUAUUGGACAAUGGGCGCAAGCCUGAUCCAGCCAUGCCGCGUGUGUGACGAAGGCCUUAGGGUUGUAAAGCACUUUCGUCCGCGAAGAUAAUGACAGUAACGGAAGAAGAAGCUCCGGCUAAAUUCGUGCCAGCAGCCGCCGUAA
Molecule: ribosomal RNA, 447 nt
Filed under: uncultured bacterium
Lineage: Bacteria
Description: partial 16S ribosomal RNA
Rfam family: Bacterial small subunit ribosomal RNA
Source: RNAcentral